CGCAGGCGGUUUCUCACGUCCGGGGUGAAAACCCAGAGCUCAACUCUGGGACUGCCUUGGAUACGGGGAAACUUGAGGAUCGGAGAGGCAAGGGGAAUUCCACGUGUAGCGGUGAAAUGCGUAGAGAUGUGGAGGAACACCUGUGGCGAAGGCGCCUUGCUGGCCGAUUUCUGACGCUGAGGCGCGAAAGCGUGGGGAGCAAACA
This 205-nucleotide ribosomal RNA is filed under the name uncultured bacterium. Its description in RNAcentral is "partial 16S ribosomal RNA". It matches the Rfam family "Bacterial small subunit ribosomal RNA", at positions 570 to 774 of the family's 1533-position model. The record is from RNAcentral.